CGAACGCUGGCGGCAGGCUUAACACAUGCAAGUCGAGCGAGAUCUUCGGAUCUAGCGGCGGACGGGUGAGUAACGCGUGGGAACGUGCCCUUUGCUACGGAAUAGUCCCGGGAAACUGGGUUUAAUACCAUAUACGCCCUUCGGGGGAAAGAUUUAUCGGCAAAGGAUCGGCCCGCGUUGGAUUAGGUAGUUGGUGGGGUAAUGGCCUACCAAGCCGACGAUCCAUAGCUGGUUUGAGAGGAUGAUCAGCCACACUGGGACUGAGACACGGCCCAGACUCCUACGGGAGGCAGCAGUGGGGAAUCUUAGACAAUGGGGGCAACCCUGAUCUAGCCAUGCCGCGUGAGUGAUGAAGGCCUUAGGGUUGUAAAGCUCUUUC
This 379-nucleotide ribosomal RNA is filed under the name Paracoccus sp. oral taxon H67. Its description in RNAcentral is "bacterial SSU rRNA". It matches the Rfam family "Bacterial small subunit ribosomal RNA", at positions 30 to 437 of the family's 1533-position model. The record is from RNAcentral. Lineage: Bacteria; Pseudomonadati; Pseudomonadota; Alphaproteobacteria; Rhodobacterales; Paracoccaceae.